UUGUGUUAAGGGCAAACCGGUCGAAAGGUCGGGACGCAAAGCUUCCGGUCUAAGGGCUUGAAAAACCUAAGAUAGCGGAGCUACCACU
Molecule: non-coding RNA, 88 nt
Organism: Aeromonas diversa
Lineage: Bacteria; Pseudomonadati; Pseudomonadota; Gammaproteobacteria; Aeromonadales; Aeromonadaceae
Source: Rfam